UUUGUAUUUCAUGUUUUUAUCUCAAAGCAAAAAAAUGUUUUUCAGCUGGACAAAAAAAAACAAAAAAAAAAAAAAGUGCUAAAUAUAGAUUUAUUUAUUUCCUUACACAGCAUUAGUGAACAAACACACUAGAAGAUUGGUGGGCUCAUACAACGACAGAGAGAGAGAGAGAGAGAGAGAGAGAGAGAGAGAGAGACAGAA
Non-coding RNA from Biomphalaria pfeifferi, 201 nucleotides. The record is from the annotation of a GenBank genome assembly. Lineage: Eukaryota; Metazoa; Mollusca; Gastropoda; Planorbidae.